AGUGAACGCUGGCGGUAGGCCUAACACAUGCAAGUCGAACGGCAGCACAGGAGAGCUUGCUCUCUGGGUGGCGAGUGGCGGACGGGUGAGGAAUACAUCGGAAUCUACUCUGUCGUGGGGGAUAACGUAGGGAAACUUACGCUAAUACCGCAUACGACCUACGGGUGAAAGCAGGGGACCUUCGGGCCUUGCGCGAUUGAAUGAGCCGAUGUCGGAUUAGCUAGUUGGCGGGGUAAAGGCCCACCAAGGCGACGAUCCGUAGCUGGUCUGAGAGGUUGAUCAGCCACACUGGAAAUGAGACACGGGCCAGACUCCUACGGGAGGCAGCAGUGGGGAAUAUUGGACAAUGGGCGCAAGCCUGAUCCAGCCAUACCGCGUGGGUGAAGAAGCCCUUCGGGUUGUAAAGCCCUUUUGUUGGAGAGAAAUCCAGCUGGCUAACACCCGGUUGGGAUGACGGUACCCAAAGAAUAAGCACCGGCUAACUUCGUGCCAGCCGCCGCCUAA
This 504-nucleotide ribosomal RNA is filed under the name uncultured bacterium. RNAcentral's name for it is "partial 16S ribosomal RNA". It matches the Rfam family "Bacterial small subunit ribosomal RNA", at positions 29 to 522 of the family's 1533-position model. The record is from RNAcentral.